ACGAGAAGUUGAAAAUCCACAGAAUCAAUUGAGAUGUAGUCAAGAAAUGGAGCCUGUAAUAACAUGUGAUAAAAAAUUUCGUACUCAAUUUUACAUUGACUGGUGCAAAAUUUCAUUGGUUGAUAAAACAAAGCAAGUGUCCACCUAUCAGGAAGUGAUUCGUGGAGAGGGGAUUUUACCUGAUGGUGGAGAAUACAAACCCCCUUCUGAUUCUUUGAAAAGCAGAGACUAUUACACGGAUUUCCUAAUUACACUGGCUGUGCCCUCGGCAGUGGCACUGGUCCUUUUUCUAAUACUUGCUUAUAUCAUGUGCUGCCGACGGGAAGGCGUGUGAGUACUUUAAAACUAAUA
RNAcentral lists this small RNA (351 nucleotides) under Pan troglodytes (chimpanzee). RNAcentral describes it as "retained intron". The record is from RNAcentral. Lineage: Eukaryota; Metazoa; Chordata; Mammalia; Primates; Hominidae.